GCCAGACUCCUACGGGAGGCAGCAGUCGGGAAUAUUGCGCAAUGGAGGAAACUCUGACGCAGUGACGCCGCGUAUAGGAAGAAGGUUUUCGGAUUGUAAACUAUUGUCGUGAGGGAAGAAAUUGACAGUACCUCAGGAGGAAGCUCCGGCUAACUACGUGCCAGCAGCCGCGGUAAUACGUAGGGAGCGAGCGUUAUCCGGAAUUAUUGGGCGUAAAGGGUGCGUAGAUGGUUGAUAUAAGUCUUUUGUAAAAAUGCUAGGCUCAACCUAGUAGGGCAAAAGAUACUGAUGAACUAGAGUACGGCAGAGGCAAGUGGAACUACAUGAGUAGCGGUAAAAUGCGUAAAUAUAUGUAAGAACACCGGUGGCGAAGGCGGCUUGCUGGGCCUGUACUGACAUUGAGGCACGAAAGCGUGGGGAGCAAACAGGAUUAGAUACCCCGGUACAA
Molecule: ribosomal RNA, 448 nt
Filed under: uncultured bacterium
Lineage: Bacteria
Description: bacterial SSU rRNA
Rfam family: Bacterial small subunit ribosomal RNA
Source: RNAcentral